GAUCUUUUAGUAUAAAAUUAGUAUGAUUGAUUUCCAAUCAAUUGGUUUAAGGGUUA
Molecule: transfer RNA, 56 nt
Filed under: Angiostrongylus cantonensis (rat lungworm)
Lineage: Eukaryota; Metazoa; Nematoda; Chromadorea; Rhabditida; Metastrongylidae
Also listed under: 1 other name
Description: tRNA-Gly
Source: RNAcentral